CAGCAGCCGCGGGAAUACAGAGGGUGCGAGCGUUAAUCGGAUUUACUGGGCGUAAAGCGUGCGUAGGCGGCUAAUUGAGUCGGAUGUGAAAUCCCCGAGCUUAACUUGGGAAUUGCAUUCGAUACUGGUUAGCUAGAGUGUGGGAGAGGAUGGUAGAAUUCCAGGUGUAGCGGUGAAAUGCGUAGGGAUCUGGAGGAAUACCGAUGGCGAAGGCAGCCAUCUGGCCUAACACUGACGCUGAGGUACGAAAGCAUGGGGAGCAAACAGGAUUAGAGACCCGUGUAGUCCCUGUCUCUUAUAC
This 301-nucleotide ribosomal RNA is filed under the name uncultured bacterium. RNAcentral describes it as "partial 16S ribosomal RNA". It matches the Rfam family "Bacterial small subunit ribosomal RNA", at positions 509 to 807 of the family's 1533-position model. The record is from RNAcentral.